AGCGAACGUUUGCGGCGGGCUUAACACAUGCAAGUCGAACGAGAAUCCCUUCGGGGAGGAAAGUGGCGCACGGGUGCGUAACACGUGGAUAACCAACCCAUUGGUUUGGGACAACACCGGGAAACUGGUGCUAAUACCAGAUGUGUCGCAGCUGUCUUCAGGCGGUUGCGAGAAAGGCCCGCAAGGGUCGCCAACGGCGGGUCCGCGUCCCAUCAGCUAGUUGGUGAGGUAAUGGCUCACCAAGGCAAAGACGGGUAGCUGGUCUGAGAGGAUGAUCAGCCACACUGGAACUGAGACACGGUCCAGACUCCUACGGGAGGCAGCAGUGGGAAUAUUGCGCAAUGGCGAAAGCCUGACGCAGCCACGCCGCGUGAGCGAUGAA
RNAcentral lists this ribosomal RNA (382 nucleotides) under uncultured bacterium. RNAcentral's name for it is "bacterial SSU rRNA". It matches the Rfam family "Bacterial small subunit ribosomal RNA", at positions 29 to 412 of the family's 1533-position model. The record is from RNAcentral.